RNAcentral lists this long non-coding RNA (1684 nucleotides) under Homo sapiens (human). RNAcentral describes it as "HSALNT0375944". Lineage: Eukaryota; Metazoa; Chordata; Mammalia; Primates; Hominidae. The record is from RNAcentral.
GUGAGGUCACAAUGGCUGAAGGGGAUGAGACAGAAGACGAUUGAUUUCAGAGCCAGAGAGAGUAAUCCUAUCAAAUGCAGGUGCACAGAAAUUAGGAGAUCAGAACAGCUCCUUGCAUUUCUUGCUACAUUUCCAGUAUUUUCCCAUUCCCUUGCUCAGUGCCUUGUCAGCACACCUAGAAUUGAGGGUGUGAUAAGAGAGGAGCAGAAAAGUAAGACUGAAAUAUUGUCCAAUACGACUAAGAAUUUUGCAGAAUGCAAUAAUUGUUUUAAACACAACAGCAGUUUAUGGUUAUCAAGGCACCAAGGAAUAGCACUGCCAAGAAUUUACUGAGCAGUAGGGCUUCUCUGACAGGAACUGCGCAGCAAUGUUCUCCCAGCAGCUUGACGUCAUUCUGCAUUGGUUGGAGUGAGAUUGGACAGAGCGUGGCUGAAGCUGACAGGAAAGAGAUUAUGCAGGACUGACCAAAAUUCACAACGAGAAGGGGGUUGCCUACUACAAUGGGAAUUUCUCCAGACAAGUUAAAAAAACAAAGGCUUCAACAUCAGAAGCUGCCCUAUACAUUGUGGGAUAUUGAGCAGUGUAUCUGGUCCCUAUUCACUAGAUGCCUGUAGCAGCCUCACAGUUGUGAUAAUUUUGUCUCCAAUUCUCACGGAUGACUGAGGGGUUCAAGACUUCAGUGGAGGAAGUAACAGCAGAUGUGGUGGAGAUAGCAAGAGAACUGAAUUACAAGUGGAGCCUGAAGAUGGGACUGAAUUGCUGCAAUCUAAUGGUCAAACAUGAAUGGAUGAAGAGUUGCUUCUUUUGGAUGAGCAGUGAAAGUUGCUCCUUGAGAAGGAAUCUACUCUUGGUGAAGAUGCUGUGAACAUUGUUGAAAUGACAAGAAAGGAUUUAGAGUAUUCCAUAAACUUAGUUGGUAAAUCACCAGCAGGGUUUGAGAGGAUUGACUCCAGUUUUGAAAAAAGUUCUACUGUGAGUAAAAUGCUUUCAAACAGCAUCACAUGCUACAGAGAAAUCUUUUGUAAAAGUUAUAGGUCUAAGGAGAACUUCCUUGGGAAGCAACCAAGAAUUGUCUUGAGACAAUAACAUUCCAGAAUUAGGUUUUGGGAGAGAGUGUCAAAAUCUCAUUCUAAUGGCUGAACAAUUUUAUCUGGGAAGAGAUGUGGCCAACUUUCUAGGGCUGACUUUGAUCCAGUAGAACAUGUCUUUUACAAGCAUUUACUUUACCAACUGGGAGCUCAGUACCCUCCCCUGUGAAAAACACCCAGGCAAGUCCAAGUCCCACAGAGUUGUUGCAACAGAGGGAAAAACAAGUGGGAUUCCAUUCAGCUUGGCUCCUAAAAAGAUCCUUAUUGGUGCUUGUGCCUGUACUACUAAGAGAGUUGUGGAAACCUUGGAAUGUGCCCAGAGUAGAGCAAUGGAAAUGAUUGGGAAAGAGGAUCUAUGAGAAAAGGCUCAAAGAAUUGAUAUGGGUGUAGAAAUAAAAUUGUGUGGAAUUACAGAUAAACUAUUUCAGGAGUAUGAAGUUAAACAAACAAGAGAAGAUGAAGGAGGAAAAGAAGAAGAUGGAGGAGGACAAAGUUUUCAGAAGUGCUUAUUAGAGCUAUUACAUGCCAAAUAUCUACUCUGUGGGAAAAGCAAAUUUCACAUUUUUAUCAACUCUGUAUUCACACAUCUGAUCAAG